GCAUAAGUGAUUAUAACUGCAGUUAGAAAAUAGAGGAAAAGUGUAGAUGAAUGCAGCUUCCAAGACGAUUCUUCCCAGCAAGUAGAAUAUUCCCCAAGCAUGAGCCUAGACUUCAUGAAGGGUGUAACAGGAAUGAUUUGUAUUGAGGCCACACUGGCUUUUAUGAGAAUCCUCCUGCAAGAGGACCUCCCACAGUAAACAAAGACAAUAACCAAUCAACAUACAGAUUUACAGUAACACCCGCCCUCUCUCUGCCUGGGAGAUAUUGAGAUAAGUUAAGGAAUAACUCAAUUAUCUCCAGGCAGAGGGCACACAAUUUUCCCAAAAGUUAGAACACCCCUUUACACACAAGGUAUCCCCACAAAUUACAUAUCCCCUGAUAGGCCCGAUCUGGGGGACCA
This is a non-coding RNA of Pelobates cultripes (western spadefoot toad), 401 nucleotides long. NCBI's taxonomy places the organism in Eukaryota, Metazoa, Chordata, Amphibia, Anura, Pelobatidae. The record is from the annotation of a GenBank genome assembly.